This 253-nucleotide ribosomal RNA is filed under the name uncultured bacterium. RNAcentral's name for it is "partial 16S ribosomal RNA". It matches the Rfam family "Bacterial small subunit ribosomal RNA", at positions 524 to 776 of the family's 1533-position model. The record is from RNAcentral.
UACGUAGGGUGCAAGCGUUAAUCGGAAUUACUGGGCGUAAAGCGUGCGCAGGCGGUUCUAUAAGACAGAUGUGAAAUCCCCGGGCUCAACCUGGGAACUGCAUUUGUGACUGUAGAGCUGGAGUGCGGCAGAGGGGGAUGGAAUUCCGCGUGUAGCAGUGAAAUGCGUAGAUAUACGGAGGAACACCGAUGGCGAAGGCAAUCCCCUGGGCCUGCACUGACGCUCAUGCACGAAAGCGUGGGGAGCAAACAGG